GUCUUUUAAUUCCAGGUUCUGCCUUCUUUGCAAGACAGACUGGAACACGGGCAGGAUGUUUAUAUAUGAGAAGAUAAACAUAUUUCACUGGCUUAUUUAAAUAAAAAUCAACCAAAGCUCCUGCUUGUUCUCAGAAUGCCCCUUUCUGUUAAAUUUAAAAUAGUCACUUAGCCUAUCCACUGAUUGUUUAGAUUGUUGUUAUAUAAAUAACCGCUGAUGAUACUAGUAAGAAGCUGUGCCCAGACUUUCUGAUUUGCAGACACUCUGCGGAUGCCCUGCUUCAACUUCUUUGGAAAGCUGCAGAGACAGGGGGAGCAGUGAAUGACACAGAACUGGCCCUUCGAAUUGUUUUAUAUUCUUUUAGCAGACAUACAUUUCACAAAUGAAAGGUAAAUAUCAUCCUAGGUGAUUCCCAUCUUUCACUUUUUUGGUCACCCAGUUCCAAAUGAGCACCACUGUCAGGUCUGGAUUCAGAGGAAGAAACCUGGAGUGCUCAACACCACACCUUUGGGAUCUAAAUGGAACACCAUCCCUACCAUCGCCAGACAGGUCUGCAGCAGUCAAGCUAGAAGAAUACGUCUAAAUUGGUGUCCAAUUCACAUCUCUCAUGUAACAGCUUGUGCACAAAGAUGCGCAGCCUUGAUAACUGAUUUGCACAAUUAGAAGCACAGCAAUGGCUUGCCAGACACAUUGGCACUGAUUACACCCCAAAGUACAGAAGGUGUGAAAUAUGGCUGUGAGAUUUGUCCAUGGGUGGUACUUAAACUAUUGACACAUGUUCCAAUAUUAAACAAUGACAUUCUU
This is a long non-coding RNA of Protopterus annectens (West African lungfish), 804 nucleotides long. RefSeq lists it as uncharacterized. Lineage: Eukaryota; Metazoa; Chordata; Ceratodontiformes; Protopteridae. The transcript is spliced from 3 exons. The record is from RefSeq and is a predicted model, not a curated record.